This is a long non-coding RNA of Ictalurus punctatus (channel catfish), 1019 nucleotides long. Lineage: Eukaryota; Metazoa; Chordata; Actinopteri; Siluriformes; Ictaluridae. The record is from Ensembl.
CGCUCACGAAGCCUGGCUUACUGACGCGCCUCAGGUACGGACCGCCGCCUUCUCUACAUUGUAGAUCAGCCACCGUUAGUCAUGACUCAGUGAACGGACCGUGGAGAAAAUGGAAAGUGCUCGCGGCUCGAGACCGUUUCAGCACCACUUCGGCUGGACAGCGCAACAGCUUCUUUUUUUUGCUUCUUCUUCUCUUUUUUUUCUAGACAGGAUCCCGAGGUGGGGGGUUUCUUUUUGAAAUUGCACGAGCGUGCGUGAUGGAGUUCGUCGAACAGGAACAAGCUGCAACAGCAUCAGAUUAACAAGACAUCAAACAUUCCGCUUUGGUCCGAGUCUGAAAAGAUGAUGCGGGAAGUCUUGUAAGCAGCACGCAGUAAAGCAUCCAGCAGCACCGGACAGAACGAUCACACUGUCUACUGGCUUGGAGAGGUGAGAACCAAACAGAUGGCGAAAGCAAAUUAGAUUAGCUGUGUUCACCACAUAUAGAAUAGCAUCCUUCUGCAUGCUUACUUAUCUUGAAGGAUUUUCCUACAUAUGCAAUCAUUAUAUGCAUAAUUUAGAUGUUCUGAAAGCAACUUAGCUGCAUGGAUGGAAUGUUGGCUUGCUCUGUAUUCUUAAUACAUAUACACUCUACACGUUUGACAUUUAUUAUUGAUUACUGACAACAGUUACUGUACUCCAUCAACUCAACAGUGGCCAGAUGGUAAAAAUGCUUUCUAUUUACCACACUGCUCUAAGGUGAUGGAUUGGCUGGGAAACUCUUCUAUGGAAGUUUGCUCUCAUUUGGUGUUGGUCGUGGGGGGUAUUGAGUUCUUCUGUUUUCAUGAAGAUGUUGAUGGUUAGACAGAAUGGCUUCAAUACUUGGAUUAGGAAUUAUUAUGUAUUUAGUUUUACUGUGCAUGGUAUAAAAUACGUUCCAUGACAUUAGAAUGCUUGAGGGAGUCUUUUCUUUGAAAUAAAGCAGACACUGCUAGACUCUGGGUGACUUUCAAAUAUCAAUUCAAUUCAGCAUAAUUGAG